GCAUAUCAAUAAGCGGAGGAAAAGAAACCAACAGGGAUUACCUCAGUAACGGCGAGUGAAGCGGUAACAGCUCAAAUUUGAAAUCUGGGCCCCUCGGGCCCCGAGUUGUAAUUUGGAGAAGAUGCUUCGGGUGCGGCGCCGGUCUAAGUUCCUUGGAACAGGACGUCACAGAGGGUGAGAAUCCCGUACGUGAUCGGCCGCCUGUGCCCGUGUGAAGCUCUUUCGACGAGUCGAGUUGUUUGGGAAUGCAGCUCAAAAUGGGUGGUAUAUUUCAUCUAAAGCUAAAUAUUGGCCAGAGACCGAUAGCGCACAAGUAGAGUGAUCGAAAGAUGAAAAGCACUUUGGAAAGAGAGUUAAACAGUACGUGAAAUUGUUGAAAGGGAAGCGCUUGCGACCAGACUUGCGCAGGGCCGAUCAUCCGGGGUUCUCCCCGGUGCACUCGGCCCCGCGCAGGCCAGCAUCGGUUCCGGUGGCUGGACAAAGGCCUUGGGAAUGUAGCUUCUCUCGGGGAGUGUUAUAGCCCUCGGCGCAAUGCAGCCUACCGGGACCGAGGACCGCGCUUCGGCUAGGAUGCUGGCGUAAUGGUCGCAAGCGACCCGUCUUGAAACACGGACCAAGGAGUCUAACAUCUAUGCGAGUGUUUGGGUGCCAAACCCAUCCGCGUAAUUAACGUGAACGGAGGUGAGAGCCCUGAAGGGUGCAUCACCGACCGGUCCUGAUGUCUUCGGAUGGAUCUGAGUAAGAGCAUAGCUGUUGGGACCCGAAAGAUGGUGAACUAUGCCUGAAUAGGGUGAAGCCAGAGGAAACUCUGGUGGAGGCUCGCAGCGGUUCUGACGUGCAAAUCGAUCGUCAAAUUUGGGUAUAGGGGCGAAAGACUAAUCGAACCAUCUAGUAGCUGGCUCUGCGGA
RNAcentral lists this ribosomal RNA (908 nucleotides) under Dermea cerasi. RNAcentral describes it as "LSU rRNA". It matches the Rfam family "Eukaryotic large subunit ribosomal RNA", at positions 38 to 964 of the family's 3401-position model. The record is from RNAcentral. Lineage: Eukaryota; Fungi; Ascomycota; Leotiomycetes; Helotiales; Dermateaceae.